RNAcentral lists this long non-coding RNA (1246 nucleotides) under Sus scrofa (pig). RNAcentral describes it as "lncRNA (ENSSSCG00070004015.1)". Lineage: Eukaryota; Metazoa; Chordata; Mammalia; Artiodactyla; Suidae. The record is from RNAcentral.
ACGCUCCUUACCUGCAGGUAUGAGCGUCACCACACCCACUAACCUCAGCAUCUCGCUGAAAACAUGGGAGAUCAGACAUCCACAUGAACUUGCCCACCAGCCACACUUGCAGACCCAUUCCUGCCUCAAGUUAAUUGAUAUUGACUCUCUAUUUAGGAUGCGGUGGUGAAAUGCUUGAUAUAGAAAUUGAACACAGCAAAAGUUCAGCAUACAAAUGCUAGCCCUAGAAUGGCGUCUUCUCAUCGAGCCCUCAGAUUCAAUUUCCCUGGGACCUGAAGAAUUGGGAGACAAGGAGACAAAAAGCAGGGAAGAUGUGGUUCAUUCCAUAAGGGGUCCAAGUAAUGAGGGAGCUCCGGGAACCCACUGUCCCCAGGUCAGGUGGCCAGUCCCUGAGGAGCCCUCAGGGGAUGCAGACAGCAGCUGAGGACCAGGUCUGAGAGCCCUGCCAUGGCUGGAGGCCACCCACUGGCUCACCUCCCACUGGGACUGAGGCCCAGCCCUGCCACCUCCCGGCCGUGGGGUCCUAGACCUGCCGCAUGGCCUCUCUGAGGCUCGGGUCCUCAUCUAGACACGUGGGUAGGAGUGCCUUCCUUGAGGACUGCUGUGAGGAGUCGAUGCGUCAAUGUUUAUUCCUCAGGGGCUCCCGGAUGGCACUUGACAAGUGGGAGUUGUCACCCGAGUCACUCCUAAAAGGAAGCCUCCAGGUCUUUGGCCUCUCAGGGCUGGGUCAUGGUUCCGGGCUCCUGGUCUUUGAUCCCCUGCUCUAUCACCUCCAGCCCACCUCCCCUGCCUCAGCCUCAUUCAUUCAGAGUGAUGGGGAGUGGCUCUCAUGGCGGCUGCCAAGUCUUCUGUGCAGGCACAGAACCCCUGCUGCCACGGGAACCAUCAGUCUUCUCACCCCCUGCCCUCCCCACAGGAAUCACCCUCUCGCUCUCCGUUUACGGCCUUCACCACAACCCGCAGGUGUGGCCGAACCCAGAGGUAUGAGGAGGGUCCCCGGGAGGAGGGAUGGGAUGCUGUCCCCAGAGCAACACCUCCUCCCGCUCCUUCCUUCUCUGGGAUUCUUGUCCGCUGUGGCUGAGAGGAGUUUGACGCCACUUUCCUGGCCCCUGUGCUCUCUCUGCAGGAGUUUGACCCAUCCCGGUUUGCACCGGGUUCUGCUCGACACAGCCAUGCCUUCAUGCCCUUCUCAGGAGGAUCCAGGAACUGCAUUGGGAAGCAGUUUGCCAUGAACGAGAUGAAGGUG